AUGGUCAAAGCCAUGUUCCUGCCAGCCUCAGGAGCUGCGUGUGGCCGGAGCAGGAUGGGGCCCGGGACAGGUCCAGAUGUGGGACUCGCCCAGUGCAGCGGCUCCGAGCUCCCGCACCCCCCUCUAGCGGCAAAUCCUAGAGGGUUUUGCCGCUGGGACAGGGGGCACAAGGGGACCCCUCGCCCUGAUCACCCCCACGUUGGGAUCCCUGGCCCCAGCCGGGUUAGGGACCACGUUACACGUGCCAGGAGGCUUCUGCCUGGCACAGGGCGGGCAGCGGGUGUCCCCGCACUGCUCCACGCCCCCCAACACCCGAUGAGGAGUCCGGGGAGAUGGCGGUGCUGGGCUCCUGCCGCAUGCUGGUGGGCAGCGAGGGGAGCGCAGCGCUGCACCCACACCCUGCCACCCCGACGGGGGCUCGCGGGGGGCUCCUUGCCCUCCGUGCCCCCGUCAGCAUCGUGCAGGGGCGCGAGGGCUGCAGCACGCAGGUGCUGCCAGGUGCAGAGCUGCAAAUCCCCGGGCCGGGAAUCGGCGCGGCAUCGCUCCCGGAAAUCCAGCCGGGGUCCACCCACUGCUUGUAGAGGAAAGUGCGGUGAAUCACCCGUGCGGGGAAGGAAAACGCAGCGAGCGUGGGCCUUCGGGGCCUCCCCGGGCAGGCCUGCUGCAGGAGGGGGGCAUGGAGGGAGCAGCCCCGGGGGGGUGGCCGAGCCCGUCCCAGCCGGCAGCAGCGCUCUGCUCCCCGCAGGGCAGCCCCACAGGCUGUUUGCCAGGCAGACAUCCCAGCCAGUGGCACUUGGAGAGAAACGUUUUUCUCUGGAAAAGAAAUGGUUCUGGGUCUGGGUUUGGUAUAACACGGACUGGGCUGCUGCGGCUGCCCAACGCGGGGGUGCAAAGCCCUUGGGAUGGCCUGCGGUGCUCCCCCUGGUCUGCCAGGGUCCUCUGAUAUCCCUCAACCCCGUGGGCUGUCUCUGGUACCCCACGGUGCAACGAACAGCAGGUGAGAAGAGAUCUGUGUGUCCACAAAGAGCCGUGCUAUCUUCCAGCCACAUCAGACUCUCAGGACAGACACCUCCUUACAGCAAGCGCUUGGCGCUGUGCCCGAGGGCUGCAGCAAGGGCAGGCGGUGCUGGGCUCGGACAGCAGCCGGGGGGCACUAGGGAUGGGGUCUGGGCUCCUUGGGACCCGCCGGUGAUGGGAAGGGCAGAUUGCAGGCACCUGCUGCCAGCUGAUAAAGGACGCUGCAGGCAGCCCCCCCCCCGCUGCUGUGCCCACGGAGAGCUGCCUCCCUCCCCGUGCUGUGCCCUGGGCUCCUCAGAAACCCUCCAGGAGCAGCAGGUGCGGAAGCCUGACAGCUCUUAUCAAACGUGGGACAAGAAAGGGGAAACCAAGCUGUGCCUUUGGAAGCUUCCUUUUUGGGCUCCCUUCUCCUGCCUUUGAGCAUUUCUACAAGUGGCUGUUGGCCUGCACCAGCAAGCCUCUGGGUUACUUCCAGCUUGCAGCCUGCUUACUGUAGGGCCGUGUAGAUGCCUGUGGUGGUUUGGUGCACAGCACGGCUAGGGCUGGGUGGGAUGUCGUAGCAGUGCCACCUGUGCCAUCAAACUGCAGCCGAAGCCUUUAGCUGAGGGCUGCUUCUCCUGUCCUCAGACCAAGAGAAAAGCAAAAGGUCACUUCCCAGUGCCUAGCACAGCCAGCCUUGCCUACAGUGCUGUGUAAAUGGAACAAAACGUUACUGAAAUUGAAGCAAUCAAGCUCUGAGUGCCUGAAAGCGAGCAGUGCAUUGAUUGGCAAGAAAAUGGUUUUGUUUCCAUGCAUUUGGAGGACCACAGCCGCUCACCGAGGGCAGAAGUACGGGAAGAAGCGCCAGCACGCACUGCGAGCGUGCGCCCUGUUCUCUCCUGGGGCUGGUAGGGAGAGGGAGCACAGACAGAUAAAUAUUCCUGCUGGUAUCAGCCCACCUGAAGUGAAGGUGAACUUACAGACGCUCAGCCGAAUUAAAGCACAUGUGAGCUGGAGCUGUCAGUGGGGGAAAUGCAGGACGAUCUUCGUUUCUGCACGCACGCUCGCUUCAGUUCAAACGACCUGGGGCAGCAAAGUCUCUGCAAUGAGCUGUGCGAACCCACUCCGAUGGAAUCGGGUGAAGGUGCAACUAGUGCUGGGCCAGGAGAGGCGAGGCGGCGGCAGAGGGCAGUGACCCGUCUGGUAGGGCUGUGCUGGAAGGGGCGCGGGUGGCACCCACGGAGUUGAUUGCAGUCUUAUCUUUUAUGAGUUACUCCUCUCUGUGAAAAGGAAUUAAAGGGAAGCCAUUUGGCCCAGCUGAGCGAAGUGUGAAGAUAGUAUGAUAGAGCCACUUCUUACCCUUUGUGGCCCGUUUAAUGAAGCUGAAUGUCAUGCUUUGUAUGACUCAAUUCUACUGUUUGCUGUUUUAACGCAGGAAAUGCUUUCCAGGUGAGUUCAUGCAGUGUCAUUCUUCACGU
Long non-coding RNA from Anser cygnoides (Swan goose), 2474 nucleotides. NCBI's taxonomy places the organism in Eukaryota, Metazoa, Chordata, Aves, Anseriformes, Anatidae. The record is from Ensembl.